Musca domestica (house fly) is the source of this 250-nucleotide long non-coding RNA. RefSeq lists it as uncharacterized. The record is from RefSeq and is a predicted model, not a curated record. The transcript has 2 exons. Lineage: Eukaryota; Metazoa; Arthropoda; Insecta; Diptera; Muscidae.
AUGAAAAGUGAGAUCUUUAAAAGUCACCAUUAAGUGUCUUUGAUAAGAACUUUUCUUUAGACAUAUAUUCUCGUGCCCAAGCCAGCGAAUAAAUUUAAUCAUUUGUGUAUUGGUUAAAUAUAAAUUCCAUCAAUUCUUAAUUCAUCGUUAGCAGCAGUUUCCAACAAAUAAAUUUAUUAUAAUUUUCGAAAUGUUAAUGCUAAAAGCAACAACAGAAAUAAAACACAACAAUUAUUAAAAAAACCAACAA